This 60-nucleotide ribosomal RNA is filed under the name uncultured organism. RNAcentral's name for it is "partial 16S ribosomal RNA". The record is from RNAcentral.
UGGCCUUGACAUGCUGAGAAGUCUGUAGAGAUACGGAUGUGCCUUCGGGAACUCAGACAC